RNAcentral lists this ribosomal RNA (497 nucleotides) under uncultured bacterium. RNAcentral's name for it is "partial 16S ribosomal RNA". It matches the Rfam family "Bacterial small subunit ribosomal RNA", at positions 28 to 507 of the family's 1533-position model. The record is from RNAcentral.
GAUGAACGCUGGCGGCGUGCCUAAUACAUGCAAGUCGAGCGAACGGACGAGAAGCUUGCUUCUCUGAUUUUAGCGGCGGACGGGUGAGUCACACGUGGAUAGCCUACCUAUAAGACUGGACUAACUUCGGCAAACCGGAGCUAAUACCGGAUAAUAUUUUGAACCGCAUGGUUCAAAAGUGAAAGACGGUCUUUCUUUCACUUAUAGAUGGAUACGCGCUGCAUUAGCUAGUUGGUAAGGUAACGGCUUACCAAGGCAACGAUGCAUAGCCGACCUGAACGGGUGAUCGGCCACACUGGAACUGAGACACGGUCCAGACUCCUACGGGAGGCAGCAGUAGGGAAUCUUCCGCGAUGGGCGAGAGGCUGACGUAGCAACGCCGCGUGAGUGAUGAAGGUCUUCGGAUCGUAAAACUCUGUUAUUAGGGAAGAACAUAUGUGUAAGUAACUGUGAACAUCUUGACGGUACCUAAUCAGAAAGCCACGGCUAACUACGUG